CGGAGCGGGCCAUGAAGGAAGCAGCUGAGAAGGAACAGGAGCUGCUAAGAGAAAAACAGAAGGAGCAGCAGCAAAUGAUGGAGGCUCAAGAGAGAAGCUUCCGGGAAUACAUGGCCCAAAUGGAGAAGAAGUUGGAGGAGGAAAGGGAAAACCUUCUCAGAGAGCAUGAAAGGCUGCUAAAACACAAGCUGAAGGUACAAGAAGAAAUGCUUAAGGAAGAGUUUCAAAAGAAAUCUGAGCAGUUAAAUAAAGAGAUUAAUCAACUGAAAGAAAAAAUCGAAAGCAAUGAAAAUGAACAGUUAAGGUUUUCAAAGAUCCUUGACAUAGCUAGCAACAUAAUGGUUGUCUCUCUACCUGGGGCUUCUAAGCUACUUGGAGUAGGGAUAAAAUAUCUUGGCUCACGUAUUUAAGAGCCUGAAUGUUCCAG
RNAcentral lists this small RNA (427 nucleotides) under Pongo abelii (Sumatran orangutan). RNAcentral's name for it is "processed transcript". Lineage: Eukaryota; Metazoa; Chordata; Mammalia; Primates; Hominidae. The record is from RNAcentral.